GUUCUGUUAACACAUGCUUCCAGGUUCACGACUAGCUAACCGACAGCAGGUGGGUUACAGUGGUAGAGGGACGGAGAGAGAGAGAGAGAGAGAGAGAGAGACGGAGUUGCACACGCUUCUUUUUCAAACGAUGCAGCUACCAAAGUGGAUGCUUAAUCGGUCGGGGAAGCUGUGUUGAUUUAGCUAAGUCAAGAUUUAGCCAAAGUGGAUGCUUAAUCGGUCGGGGAAGCUGUGUUGUGUCACAGUGGAGGAUGGAGAUCUUCAUCCAGGAUUUCUGUGGAAACAGUGACAAGAUACUGACUCCAGACCAGACAGUUGACCCACAGGAGCACCUGGAGAAAUGCUGUCGCCUGUGCUUUUAGAGGCCCAAAAAGUAAGUCAUCGCCUGAGUACUACUAGUGACACAAAGGAGUGAUAAACAAUGUAGACAAUGUAGAGACACAUUAACAAAAUUCCUUCCCCCAACCGAUCGAAGUAGAUUUGUUGGGUGUAGUUGUGUAAGUUCUUAAACCUUACCUUGAAAUAAUAAUUGAAGCAAUAAUAAGUUCACUAUUUGCCUUAAAUUUCAGUAGACAUCACAACAACUUGUCUCUUACAAAUAGACAGGUUUCCUGAGACAGAAUGUGAUAAGUGGUCGCAAUUCUAAUCCAGUCCUAAUAAAAGCAGAGACAUUUAAUAACAACCGCUACAAGAUUAACAGUCACAUGCUUUAUUUGCUGGUCCUAUUAAUGAGGCACAGUCAGUGUGAGAACCAGUAGCAUUAGUAUCAACUCCAGUGAACGAUAGUAGGUGCUGUAUUAUUCUGUAACAUUCUCAGCAGUAAUGAUUUCAUGAACUUUAUGAUUUAUUACACAAUAUUUCCCUUCUCUGGUCCUAAAAGGACCAUCCAUCAAUAGCAUACAUGCACUUCAACUUUAGGUUCAUUUUUUAAAGAGUUUUUCCUUAAGUACCACUUUCUAAGUACCACUACGACAUCACACAGGUAGUGUGCACUUCCAGUAUCUACUAGUUGUAUGAAUUUAAUAAUCUGUUAGUUCAGCCUUAUUGUACAGAAACCUUUCACUCAUUUUCAAUACAUCACAUAUUGUCUUGUGUCCGUGUCAGUAGUAGUCCUUCUCAGUAUGCAGGUUAUAGAUUUACUGUGUCCAUAGUCCCCCUCAAGUCCAUUGUACAGUUCUUUUCUCCUCUUCGUAGCAUCCUGUUAUCUUCUGGGGUCUCUGUCACACUGAUAAUAUAGGUGGUUGUGUGGUUAUAUAUGUUCCAAUAUAAUGUAAGUAAGAGAAGAAGAAAAAGCUGUUGGGUUGGAUAAUGGCUCCUCAUUAUCAUUAUUUUCUGGUUGGUUCCCUGCUGGGUCUGGAGGCGAAUGAACCUGCUGCCAUCGUUUGUUGCUCCCCUCUGAAUGCCGGGACUCCCCGGGUGUUGGUGGUGGGGUCGGUGAUGGGGAUGGUGGUGCUAUGGUUGAACCUGGACGAUGGCCACUCCAUGGUGCCGUCAAAUGCGGAAGUUAUGCU
Molecule: long non-coding RNA, 1511 nt
Organism: Betta splendens (Siamese fighting fish)
Lineage: Eukaryota; Metazoa; Chordata; Actinopteri; Anabantiformes; Osphronemidae
Exons: 4
Source: RefSeq, a predicted model, not a curated record